Molecule: ribosomal RNA, 909 nt
Filed under: uncultured bacterium
Lineage: Bacteria
Description: bacterial SSU rRNA
Rfam family: Bacterial small subunit ribosomal RNA
Source: RNAcentral
UAGAGUUUGAUCCUGGCUCAGAGCGAACGCUGGCGGCAGGCCUAACACAUGCAAGUCGAACGGACCCUUCGGGGUUAGUGGCGGACGGGUGAGUAACACGUGGGAACGUGCCUUUAGGUUCGGAACAACUCAGGGAAACUUGAGCUAAUACCGAAUGUGCCCUUCGGGGGAAAGAUUUAUCGCCUUUAGAGCGGCCCGCGUCUGAUUAGGUAGUUGGUGGGGUAAAGGCCUACCAAGCCUACGAUCAGUAGCUGGUCUGAGAGGAUGAUCAGCCACAUUGGGACUGAGACACGGCCCAAACUCCUACGGGAGGCAGCAGUGGGGAAUCUUGCGCAAUGGGCGAAAGCCUGACGCAGCCAUGCCGCGUGAAUGAUGAAGGUCUUAGGAUUGUAAAAUUCUUUCACCGGGGACGAUAAUGACGGUACCCGGAGAAGAAGCCCCGGCUAACUUCGUGCCAGCAGCCGCGGUAAUACGAAGGGGGCUAGCGUUGCUCGGAAUUACUGGGCGUAAAGGGAGCGUAGGCGGACAGUUUAGUCAGAGGUGAAAGCCCAGGGCUCAACCCUGGAAUUGCCUUUGAUACUGGCUGUCUUGAGUAUGGGAGAGGUAAGCGGAACUCCGAGUGUAGAGGUGAAAUUCGUAGAUAUUCGGAAGAACACCAGUGGCGAAGGCGGCUUACUGGCCCAUUACUGACGCUGAGGCUCGAAAGCGUGGGGAGCAAACAGGAUUAGAUACCCUGGUAGUCCACGCCGUAACGAUGAGAGCUAGUUGUCGGCAUGCAUGCAUGUCGGUGACGCAGCUAACGCAUUAAGCUCUCCGCCUGGGGAGUACGGUCGCAAGAUUAAAACUCAAAGGGAUUGACGGGGGCCCGCACAAGCGGUGGAGCAUGUGGUUUAAUUCGAAGCAACGCGC